AGGUAAAAUAUAAGUGUACUUUUUCUUAAUCUUCGAGG
Molecule: small RNA, 38 nt
Filed under: Plasmodium falciparum 3D7
Lineage: Eukaryota; Apicomplexa; Aconoidasida; Haemosporida; Plasmodiidae
Description: Pfa-npcR6987
Source: RNAcentral